Molecule: microRNA precursor, 102 nt
Filed under: Marmota monax (woodchuck)
Lineage: Eukaryota; Metazoa; Chordata; Mammalia; Rodentia; Sciuridae
Source: RNAcentral
AGAGGGAUAGCUGGGUCAAAUGGUGGUUCCAUUCCAGUUUUCCAAGGAAUCUCCAUACUGCUUUCCAGAUUGGCUGCUCCAAUUUGUAGUCCCACCAGCAAU